This 444-nucleotide ribosomal RNA is filed under the name uncultured bacterium. RNAcentral's name for it is "bacterial SSU rRNA". It matches the Rfam family "Bacterial small subunit ribosomal RNA", at positions 355 to 822 of the family's 1533-position model. The record is from RNAcentral.
UGGGGAAUAUUGGACAAUGGGCGAAAGCCUGAUCCAGCAAUGCCGCGUGAGUGAUGAAGGCCUUAGGGUUGUAAAGCUCUUUUACCAGGGAUGAUAAUGACAGUACCUGGAGAAUAAGCUCCGGCUAACUCCAUGCCAGCAGCCGCGGUAAUACGGAGGGAGCUAGCGUUGUUCGGAAUUACUGGGCGUAAAGCGUACGUAGGCGGUGACUCAAGUCAGAGGUGAAAGCCUGGAGCUCAACUCCAGAACUGCCUUUGAAACUAGGUCGCUAGAAUCACGGAGAGGUGAGUGGAAUUCCGAGUGUAGAGGUGAAAUUCGUAGAUAUUCGGAAGAACACCAGUGGCGAAGGCGGCUCACUGGACGUGUAUUGACGCUGAGGUACGAAAGCGUGGGGAGCAAACAGGAUUAGAUACCCACGUAGUCCCUGAGCGGGCUGGCAAGGCG